Molecule: small RNA, 143 nt
Filed under: Escherichia coli
Lineage: Bacteria; Pseudomonadati; Pseudomonadota; Gammaproteobacteria; Enterobacterales; Enterobacteriaceae
Description: QUAD RNA
Rfam family: Short Intergenic Abundant RNA
About the family: This family contains multiple ncRNA from E. coli that were identified in a large scale screen of E. coli, were they were called candidates 43,55 and 61. These RNAs have also been identified by other groups and called QUAD RNAs.
Source: RNAcentral
UUGACAAUCUGACCGUGAAGGCAUACUUUCAGGAGUGAGGGUUGAGCGGGGUUUCCCCCGCCCUGGUAGUCUUAGUAAGCGGGGAAGCUUAUGACUAAGAGCACCACGAUGAUGAUCCACUUCAUCAUGACCCUUUCCUUAUU